Molecule: long non-coding RNA, 494 nt
Filed under: Oncorhynchus kisutch (coho salmon)
Lineage: Eukaryota; Metazoa; Chordata; Actinopteri; Salmoniformes; Salmonidae
Description: lncRNA (ENSOKIG00005028797.1)
Source: RNAcentral
GAACAAUCGACUGGAAAAUGCCUGGGUGCUUUUCAAGACUGGCGGAGAGAGUGCGUGGACGUCGGCGGCCUACUGCGUCGACAGGUUGUUCAAAUUCAUUUGUGGCUUGUUUUUCUUGUUUUUCAGUUGAUUCCGAUUAGGUUCAGCCCCCAGUACUGGGGGCCUGUUGUGAUCAGGAACAAUGCCGGUCCGGUGGUUAAAGCUUGGAGAACUUUCCAGUUCAUCGGCCCCAUCAUCACCUACAUGCGUGGGGGAUCCCAGCAGGUGGUGGUGAGGAUGCACCACGUGAGUAGGGUGAGAGGCCUGGAGACUCAACUGGUGUGGGCCAUCUCCAAGGAGACAGCCAGGCUUAGUCCUGAGGGCAUCCCCUACUGUGCCACCAAAGUGCAGUCCAUCACUUGGAUCCAGGUAAGACGUAAAUACUACUGAAACAGUAGUAGGUUAGGCUUUUCUUCACUUAUUCCAUUUGGCCUUAAUAUGUAUUCUCUCUUUGU